This is a long non-coding RNA of Solanum pennellii, 565 nucleotides long. RefSeq lists it as uncharacterized. Lineage: Eukaryota; Viridiplantae; Streptophyta; Magnoliopsida; Solanales; Solanaceae. The transcript is spliced from 2 exons. The record is from RefSeq and is a predicted model, not a curated record.
UUCUUUUAAAGAAUUUUUCAUCCAAAGUACCUUUAAUAAGGGGAUUAUAUUGUUCCUAAGAAGCUUUACUUCCCCAGCAUGAAUUAGGAUAGGUUCUUCAUCAUAUGUCAAGUCAAGAUUAAAUACAAUAGAUUCAACUGGAAGAACAUGAGAUGGAUCAGAACGGUAUCUUCUAAGCAUAGAAACACGGAACACCUUGUGAAUAUUGUCUAACUUAGGUAGUAAAGCCAAUUUAUAUGCAACUGGUCCAACCCUUUCAGACCCAGGUAACCAGGAUCAGCAGGCAGCGCCAUUGAUCCAGUUGAGCACUCCACAGUCACAUGGGUUGCCUCCUUGCAUUGCGGAGGAUAUCCGUUUUAUUGCUUUUCAAGUUUAGUUCAAUAGGAUGCUAUGGGGUCUGUCCCAGCAUCCAUGUAAGUCAGUUAAGAGGCUUCAUAGACAGUUAGCAGUUAAAUUUUUGAGUCUAAUUUAUAUUAUAUUUCAUAUGUUCAAGUGUUGAGACUUAGUGCCAUUUUGGUCAAGACAAUUAUAUUAGUUCUUUGAUGAGAAUGUUUCUAAUUCUUUA